GAGAGCCGUGUUAUGGGUGACCUUAUUGCACGGUUCAGAGAGCACUUGUGUAUGUGAUGCAAGUGAACGUCUACGAAAAGCUGUCGUAAAGUUUCGUUCUUCGUUCUGUCGUUGACCCUAU
Non-coding RNA from Nicotiana sylvestris (wood tobacco), 121 nucleotides. NCBI's taxonomy places the organism in Eukaryota, Viridiplantae, Streptophyta, Magnoliopsida, Solanales, Solanaceae. The record is from Rfam.